AAUAGAUACCCGGGUAGUCCACGCCGUAAACGAUGAAUACUAGGUGUAGGGGUUGUCAUGACCUCUGUGCCGCCGCUAACGCAUUAAGUAUUCCGCCUGGGGAGUACGGUCGCAAGAUUAAAACUCAAAGGAAUUGACGGGGGCCCGCACAAGCAGCGGAGCAUGUGGUUUAAUUCGAAGCAACGCGAAGAACCUUACCUAGACUUGACAUCUCCUGAAUUACCCUUAAUCGGGGAAGUUCCUUCGGGAACAGGAAGACAGGUGGUGCAUGGUUGUCGUCAGCUCGUGUCGUGAGAUGUUGGGUUAAGUCCCGCAACGAGCGCAACCCUUAUUGUUAGUUGCUACCAUUAAGUUGAGCACUCUAGCGAGACUGCCCGGGUUAACCGGAGGAAGGUGGGGAUGACGUCAAAUCAUCAUGCCCCUUAUGUCUAGGGCUACACACGUGCUACAAUGGCCGGUACAAAGAGCUGCAAGACCGCGAGGUGGAGCUAAUCUCAUAAAAACCCGUUCUCAGUUCGGAUUGUAGGCUGCAACUCGCCUACA
This 543-nucleotide ribosomal RNA is filed under the name uncultured bacterium. RNAcentral describes it as "bacterial SSU rRNA". It matches the Rfam family "Bacterial small subunit ribosomal RNA", at positions 777 to 1320 of the family's 1533-position model. The record is from RNAcentral.